Triticum aestivum (bread wheat) is the source of this 118-nucleotide non-coding RNA. The record is from Rfam. NCBI's taxonomy places the organism in Eukaryota, Viridiplantae, Streptophyta, Magnoliopsida, Poales, Poaceae.
CUAGUACUCCCUCCAUUCCGAAUUACUUGUCGCAGGUAUGGAUGUAUCUAGAUAUAUUUUAGUUUUAGAUACAUCCAUUUCUGCGACGAGUAAUUUGUUGGAACGGAGGGAGUACGUG